Paramuricea clavata is the source of this 691-nucleotide non-coding RNA. The record is from the annotation of a GenBank genome assembly. NCBI's taxonomy places the organism in Eukaryota, Metazoa, Cnidaria, Anthozoa, Malacalcyonacea, Plexauridae.
GGUACAAAAGGUACAAAACUUGGACCCCUCUUCUUCCUUGUGAUGAUAAAUGACUUGCAAACCACGGACUCACUGGCCGCCAAGUACCAAAUCUCUUCACAAUGUUUGUUGGCUAUCCAGGCACUGAAAAUCCGCAGCAAUAGACUAUUCAGCCACGACGCCGCUCCUGUCUAUUACCGAAGAUGAACAAAAUAUUCUCAUGGGUCGAGCCACAUCAUCCGCCCUUGUUAAACAACUAUCAAAAUUCGGCAAGGCACACGUUGCUUCCUCAGAGAUAUAUGACGUACUUCACAAGGCCUACUCUGGGGCGGUAAAUCGCCUUAAAUCGCUGCGAUAUAAUGCGAUUUUAGGCGAUUUAAGGAAAAACUGGGACUUUCAAGCAUUGCGAUUUAAUGCGAUUUUAGGCGAUUUAAGAGAAAAUUCUAAAUUUUAGGGAUUGCAAUUUUGACCUGUGUUUUCAAGGUAAUUGAAUUUUAUAUUUUGCUCCGGUUUCCUCCCACAAGGCAAAAUAUGGCAGGGUGGGUUAGAAUAAACACAGUUAGAAAAGUGAUAUCAUAUUCUCAUUGUUAUAAAGAUAAAUAGUCUAGACUAACAUAAGUAACCCUAAUACUUGAUGUAAGCGGUGACUGAAAAGCCCCAAAGGGGAGUGAGCUGAAUAAUGUAAUGUUUUCACACACAUUGACACAUAUGC